UUAGCACUUGAGUUAGCCUGAUUCUUAAUCAAAGGUCUAGUCGGCUCAUCACUAUCCAAUAGUGAUAGGGGGAACUUAUAAGAGGACAUUUCUGCAUAAAGGAUAAAACCAAGGCCUUAUUAGUAAAUGAGUCAAUUAAUCUAAAGACAUAGAUUUUAGUCUAAAGAUCCUUCCACUAUUUUAUACGAAUCAGGAGCCUCUGCCUCUAAUCCGAAGAAUUACUCUUAAUUCUUUAGUGGGCACUAGAAUCCAAUAGGCCAUACCUGGGCCCGGCUUUGGUCGGUAUCAACCCAAAUACACCUAAAGGUAGGUUCAUAACAAAUUGUUUCAACUAAACAACUUCUAGUGAUCAUUUUGCCCCAGGAAGCACUUCAGCAGGCGUAUAUCGACACUACUGAAAGUUCCGGUUAGGUCCAACCAUUAACAUGUAGCAAUCAAUGCAAACUAUCUAAUAGAUGGUCAAGCCCGACUUUGGCC
RNAcentral lists this long non-coding RNA (477 nucleotides) under Phoenix dactylifera (date palm). Its description in RNAcentral is "long non-coding RNA (PDAC_LNC003230)". The record is from RNAcentral. Lineage: Eukaryota; Viridiplantae; Streptophyta; Magnoliopsida; Arecales; Arecaceae.